AUCAUUCCUUGGCCUUUUGGUUAGGGUCAAGUAUAAUAGCUGAUCUUAUCAGCUUGGUAUCUGAUAUAUCCUCUAUCUGAGGACAGUGUUUUAAAAGGAUUUUGUUUGUUCAUUUCCGGGCCACACCCAGCUGUGCUCAGGCCUCUUGGCUCUCCACUCAGAGGUCACUCCUAGUGAGGCGUGGGGACCAAAU
This is a small nuclear RNA of Sorex fumeus (smoky shrew), 193 nucleotides long. RefSeq annotates it as U2 spliceosomal RNA. The record is from RefSeq and is a predicted model, not a curated record. Lineage: Eukaryota; Metazoa; Chordata; Mammalia; Eulipotyphla; Soricidae. The transcript has a single exon.